UACGUAGGGUGCAAGCGUUGUCCGGAAUUAUUGGGCGUAAAGAGCUCGUAGGCGGUUUGUCGCGUCUGCUGUGAAAACUCGGGGCUUAACCCCGGGCCUGCAGUGGGUACGGGCAGACUAGAGUGCGGUAGGGGAGACUGGAAUUCCUGGUGUAGCGGUGAAAUGCGCAGAUAUCGAGAGGAACACCGGUGGCGAAGGCGGUUCUCUGGGCCUUACCUGACGCUGAGGAGCGAAAGCGUGGGGAGCGAACAGG
This 253-nucleotide ribosomal RNA is filed under the name uncultured bacterium. RNAcentral's name for it is "partial 16S ribosomal RNA". It matches the Rfam family "Bacterial small subunit ribosomal RNA", at positions 524 to 776 of the family's 1533-position model. The record is from RNAcentral.